AUGGUUUUAUACUCACUAAUUUUGGUGAGUAUAGUGACAGAGAUUCAACAAAGAACAUGUUUGUGUGUUUGGGACCUCAGGAUAGUACGCAUGCUGGUGUCUAUAACUCAAUACACAAAUUAUCUGCAUUUUACAAUUGUGGGUUUUAAUGCAAAAUUCUGGAGCUAUAGUCAACCGUACUUUUUAUAUGCAUGUUUGAUAUCAUGCAAGGUCAUUUGUAUAUUUAACAUCCAUAAUUUCAUACAAAGUCAUUCAUACCUGCAUAAGAACGGAAUCCGUCCUUCUACUGAUGCAAUAUAUUGGAUUCAAGAUCUGGGUAUAGGAAAAAUAGAAAGAGUUGGCAUCUGUAUGCUAUGA
This 357-nucleotide ribosomal RNA is filed under the name Triticum aestivum (bread wheat). RNAcentral describes it as "partial small subunit ribosomal RNA". The record is from RNAcentral. Lineage: Eukaryota; Viridiplantae; Streptophyta; Magnoliopsida; Poales; Poaceae.